Molecule: long non-coding RNA, 128 nt
Organism: Hippocampus comes (tiger tail seahorse)
Lineage: Eukaryota; Metazoa; Chordata; Actinopteri; Syngnathiformes; Syngnathidae
Exons: 2
Source: RefSeq, a predicted model, not a curated record
AAAAAAGAACCCAAAAUAUUAAUCAAGUGGUGGACAAGUAACUCUAGAUCCUGCUUGAGGAAAAUGGUGGGAGGGGAAAAAAUAACGUCAUCUGUAAUGAGAAAAUAAAGAUUCACCCCCCCACCCCC